This is a long non-coding RNA of Salvia splendens (bonfire salvia), 825 nucleotides long. RefSeq lists it as uncharacterized. The transcript is spliced from 3 exons. Lineage: Eukaryota; Viridiplantae; Streptophyta; Magnoliopsida; Lamiales; Lamiaceae. The record is from RefSeq and is a predicted model, not a curated record.
ACAUAGUAUCCUAUUUUUCUGUCUCAUAUGCCUGUACAAAUAUGUGCUAUAUUAGUGUUUCUCUGAUAUAUAAACUCCCAUUGAUUGUCAAAUCUUGGCAUCUUAAUAUCUGUUUUUACAGGCUCAUUCCCAAGUACUUACUAGACACAUUUCCUUUUUUACUUUGGCAUUAGGUUUGUUGUACUUGCAUCUAAAAAAGAAAUCAUGGGCCUUGGAAGCUGGUUGAGCAGUCAAUUGGGUCUAUAACAAAUGUUUAUAGCAUUUACCGUACAAUAAGCAUUGCAAUAUCUGCACUUUGAGAAGAUUUUGCCUUUUAUACAUAUGCGGUUUUCAGUUUCUCAUUUUGCCCUACUGUUAACAUGGGCAAUUGUUUUGUAUAGGUUCUUGCAUUGCUGUAAAAAUGCUUGGUAUAGAUUCAAGAGAGUUAAAUGCUCCCUCCAAGGCAAGUUACCCGAAGGGCCAAUUGGAACGUAAUACAAAGCGCUUGGCAGAUGUCGUCUUAGAUGCUUCAAAUUUUGAGUCAUUCGUUAUGAUAAACUUUGUUCACUGUUAUGUCAUGCAGAGUCUUUAGUUCCAGGAUUUUUGAAUGAAGAUGAUGUACAACUGCUGAGGGAAUACGCUUCAUAAAAAGGAAUUUUAGUGCCAGAAAAGGAAGGUAGGAAGGUAAGACUGAUCUUGUAAAGAUGACAGGAAAGAUGGUAGUAUAUAUUUAAAGACAAUUUAAUCGAUCACUCAAAAUUAAAUGUUGGAAUGUUUCGAAGAUGAUCUAAAUUGACAGAGUAUUAUGUUUUUUUAUUCUGAUAAAGAUAUAACGGUAGAGGUUUG